This 468-nucleotide ribosomal RNA is filed under the name uncultured bacterium. RNAcentral describes it as "partial 16S ribosomal RNA". It matches the Rfam family "Bacterial small subunit ribosomal RNA", at positions 28 to 507 of the family's 1533-position model. The record is from RNAcentral.
GACGAACGCUGGCGGCGUGCUUAACACAUGCAAGUCGAACGGAAAGGCCCUGCUUUUGUGGGGUGCUCGAGUGGCGAACGGGUGAGUAACACGUGAGUAACCUGCCCUUGACUUUGGGAUAACUUCAGGAAACUGGGGCUAAUACCGGAUAGGAGCUCCUGCUGCAUGGUGGGGGUUGGAAAGUUUCGGCGGUUGGGGAUGAACUCGCGGCUUAUCAGCUUGUUGGUGGGGUAGUGGCUUACCAAGGCUUUGACGGGUAGCCGGCCUGAGAGGGUGACCGGCCACAUUGGGACUGAGAUACGGCCCAGACUCCUACGGGAGGCAGCAGUGGGGAAUAUUGCACAAUGGGCGGAAGCCUGAUGCAGCAACGCCGCGUGCGGGAUGACGGCCUUCGGGUUGUAAACCGCUUUAGCAUGUGACGAAGCGUGAGUGACGGUAAUGGGUAAAGAAGCACCGGCUAACUACGUG